Molecule: long non-coding RNA, 523 nt
Filed under: Daucus carota (carrot)
Lineage: Eukaryota; Viridiplantae; Streptophyta; Magnoliopsida; Apiales; Apiaceae
Description: long non-coding RNA (DCAR_LNC003307)
Source: RNAcentral
GUCAAGUUCAAAGUAGAUGGGGUUUGGAAUUUGCUGAGGCUUCCAUAUACCCUUGUAGCUGGGGUUGUCGAUAAGUGGAGCAUGCCAUUUACCUUUGUAUGCUGGGUUACUCUUCAUUGGCUUCUUCCACUCACCACAGCCAGGAGCCUCCUCACACUUAGGGUUAUCAAUCUUUGGAGCCUCCCAUUCACCAUCCUCCUCAUCAUCCCAAUCUUCAGGUUUGGAUGCCUCGGGAUCUUCAAUUUCCUCAGGCUCAUCAUCCAACCAUCCUUCAGGUUUUGUAGCUUCCUCAUCUUCAAUUUCCAUAGGUGCAUCCUCGUCCCAAUCAUCUGGUUUUGUGGCAUCUGGAUCUGGAAUCUUAGCUCUCUCAUCCCAAUCCUCAGGCUUCUUAUCAUCUGGAUCAGGGAUAGUCUUGGCUGGAAUUAGUGCUGGCUCAAAGUCAUCAGCUGAUAGAAUGUUGACCUUUUUCUUUUCUUCUCCAUCAACCAAGAUCCUUAUCUCGUUAUCAGGCUUCAAAAUGGCA